AGCUUGACACUGAACACUGGUCCUUGAUGUGUAGGAUAGGUGGGAGGCUUUGAAGCGUGGACGCCAGUCUGCGUGGAGCCAUCCUUGAAAUACCACCCUUUAAUGGCUGGUGUUCUAACGUGGGCCCCUAAUCGGGGUUGCGGACAGUGUCUGGUGGGUAGUUUGACUGGGGCGGUCUCCUCCUAAAGAGUAACGGAGGA
Molecule: ribosomal RNA, 200 nt
Filed under: Klebsiella grimontii
Lineage: Bacteria; Pseudomonadati; Pseudomonadota; Gammaproteobacteria; Enterobacterales; Enterobacteriaceae
Description: partial 23S ribosomal RNA
Rfam family: Bacterial large subunit ribosomal RNA
Source: RNAcentral